This 1372-nucleotide ribosomal RNA is filed under the name uncultured bacterium. Its description in RNAcentral is "bacterial SSU rRNA". It matches the Rfam family "Bacterial small subunit ribosomal RNA", at positions 28 to 1381 of the family's 1533-position model. The record is from RNAcentral.
GAUGAACGCUGGCGGCGUGCCUAAUACAUGCAAGUCGAGCGAACAGACAAGGAGCUUGCUCCUUUGACGUUAGCGGCGGACGGGUGAGUAACACGUGGGUAACCUACCUAUAAGACUGGGAUAACUUCGGGAAACCGGAGCUAAUACCGGAUAAUAUUUCGAACCGCAUGGUUCGAUAGUGAAAGAUGGUUUUGCUAUCACUUAUAGAUGGACCCGCGCCGUAUUAGCUAGUUGGUAAGGUAACGGCUUACCAAGGCGACGAUACGUAGCCGACCUGAGAGGGUGAUCGGCCACACUGGAACUGAGUCACGGUCCAGACUCCUACGGGAGGCAGCAGUAGGGAAUCUUCCGCAAUGGGCGAAAGCCUGACGGAGCAACGCCGCGUGAGUGAUGAAGGUCUUCGGAUCGUAAAACUCUGUUAUUAGGGAAGAACAUACGUGUAAGUAACUAUGCACGUCUUGACGGUACCUAAUCAGAAAGCCACGGCUAACUACGUGCCAGCAGCCGCGGUAAUACGUAGGUGGCAAGCGUUAUCCGGAAUUAUUGGGCGUAAAGCGCGCGUAGGCGGUUUUUUAAGUCUGAUGUGAAAGCCCACGGCUCAACCGUGGAGGGUCAUUGGAAACUGUAAAACUUGAGUGCAGAAGAGGAAAGUGGAAUUCCAUGUGUAGCGGUGAAAUGCGCAGAGAUAUGGAGGAACACCAGUGGCGAAGGCGACUUUCUGGUCUGUAACUGACGCUGAUGUGCGAAAGCGUGGGGAUCAAACAGGAUUAGAUACCCUGGUAGUCCACGCCGUAAACGAUGAGUGCUAAGUGUUAGGGGGUUUCCGCCCCUUAGUGCUGCAGCUAACGCAUUAAGCACUCCGCCUGGGGAGUACGACCGCAAGGUUGAAACUCAAAGGAAUUGACGGGGACCCGCACAAGCGGUGGAGCAUGUGGUUUAAUUCGAAGCAACGCGAAGAACCUUACCAAAUCUUGACAUCCUUUGACAACUCUAGAGAUAGAGCCUUCCCCUUCGGGGGACAAAGUGACAGGUGGUGCAUGGUUGUCGUCAGCUCGUGUCGUGAGAUGUUGGGUUAAGUCCCGCAACGAGCGCAACCCUUAAGCUUAGUUGCCAUCAUUAAGUUGGGCACUCUAAGUUGACUGCCGGUGACAAACCGGAGGAAGGUGGGGAUGACGUCAAAUCAUCAUGCCCCUUAUGAUUUGGGCUACACACGUGCUACAAUGGACAAUACAAAGGGCAGCGAAACCGCGAGGUCAAGCAAAUCCCAUAAAGUUGUUCUCAGUUCGGAUUGUAGUCUGCAACUCGACUACAUGAAGCUGGAAUCGCUAGUAAUCGUAGAUCAGCAUGCUACGGUGAAUACGUUCCCGGGUCU